AUACGUAGGGGGCGAGCGUUGUCCGGAAUGAUUGGGCGUAAAGGGCGCGUAGGCGGCCCGGUAAGUCUGGAGUGAAAGUCCUGCUUUUGAGGUGGGAAUUGCUUUGGAUACUGUCGGGCUUGAGUGCAGGAGAGGUAAGUGGAAUUCCCAGUGUAGCGGUGAAAUGCGUAGAGAUUGGGAGGAACACCAGUGGCGAAGGCGACUUACUGGACUGUAACUGACGCUGAGGCGCGAAAGUGUGGGGAGCAAACAGGAUUAGAUACCCUGGUAGUCCACACUGUAAACGAUGAAUGCUAGGUGUAGGGGGUAUCGACCCCUUCUGUGCCGCAGUUAACACAAUAAGCAUUCCGCCUGGGGAGUACGGCCGCAAGGUUGAAACUCAAAGGAAUUGACGGGG
Molecule: ribosomal RNA, 397 nt
Filed under: uncultured bacterium
Lineage: Bacteria
Description: partial 16S ribosomal RNA
Rfam family: Bacterial small subunit ribosomal RNA
Source: RNAcentral